GCCUAGUUAGCUUGGUUGGUAGCGCGUCUGCCUUGUAAGCGCUAGGCCGCGGGAUCGAUUCCCGCCCGGGGCA
Molecule: transfer RNA, 73 nt
Filed under: Diaphorina citri (Asian citrus psyllid)
Lineage: Eukaryota; Metazoa; Arthropoda; Insecta; Hemiptera; Psyllidae
Rfam family: tRNA
About the family: Transfer RNA (tRNA) molecules are approximately 80 nucleotides in length. Their secondary structure includes four short double-helical elements and three loops (D, anti-codon, and T loops).
Source: Rfam by way of RNAcentral